RNAcentral lists this ribosomal RNA (282 nucleotides) under Pristimantis sinschi. RNAcentral describes it as "partial small subunit ribosomal RNA". It matches the Rfam family "Bacterial small subunit ribosomal RNA", at positions 871 to 1307 of the family's 1533-position model. Lineage: Eukaryota; Metazoa; Chordata; Amphibia; Anura; Strabomantidae. The record is from RNAcentral.
GCCAGGGAACUACGAGCUAAAGCUUAAAACCCAAAGGACUUGACGGUGCCCCACAUCCUUCUAGAGGAGCCUGUCCUACAACCGAUACCCCCCGCUAUACCUCACCACUUUUAGCUUAUCAGCCUGUAUACUUCCGUCGUCAGCUUACCGCAUGAGCGAAAUUAGUAAGCCUAAUAUCACCCUCUAAUACGUCAGGUCAAAGUGCAGCAAAUAAAGUGGCAAGAGAUGGGCUACACUUUCUAAUCUAGAAAAUACGAAAAAACUAUGUGAAACCAUGGUCAG